Molecule: ribosomal RNA, 281 nt
Filed under: uncultured bacterium
Lineage: Bacteria
Description: partial 16S ribosomal RNA
Rfam family: Bacterial small subunit ribosomal RNA
Source: RNAcentral
UGGGCCUACGGGAGGCAGCAGUAGGGAAUCUUCCACAAUGGACGAAAGUCUGAUGGAGCAACGCCGCGUGAGUGAAGAAGGGUUUCGGCUCGUAGAGCUCUGUUGGUAGUGAAGAAAGAUAGAGGUAGUAACUGGCCUUUAUUUGACGGUAAUUACUUAGAAAGUCACGGCUAACUACGUGCCAGCAGCCGCGGUAAUACGUAGGUGGCAAGCGUUGUCUGGAAUUACUGGGGGUAAAGGGAGCGCAGGCGGGAAGACAAGUCAGCUGUGAAAACUUCGGG